Molecule: long non-coding RNA, 196 nt
Organism: Pipra filicauda (Wire-tailed manakin)
Lineage: Eukaryota; Metazoa; Chordata; Aves; Passeriformes; Pipridae
Exons: 3
Source: RefSeq, a predicted model, not a curated record
AGGAAGUGCCCUUAGGAUUUGGGAACAGGAAGUUACUGGAAGCCAGCCCAAGAUGGACCCUGUUGGAGAAGCAGCUCUGAUGCACCAACUGAUAUCGUGCUGGAAAAAUAACACACUGCAAUGGAUCAAAGGACCAAAGGAAAGAUGAGAAGUUCCCUGAGAACUGAGCCCCGGGGCUGCUGCCCCUGAGGAGCAG